Molecule: ribosomal RNA, 432 nt
Filed under: uncultured bacterium
Lineage: Bacteria
Description: bacterial SSU rRNA
Rfam family: Bacterial small subunit ribosomal RNA
Source: RNAcentral
AGCGAACGCUGGCGGCAGGCUUAACACAUGCAAGUCGAACGCCCGGGCAACCGGGAGUGGCAGACGGGUGAGUAACACGUGGGAACGUACCCUUUGGUUCGGAAUAACUCAGGGAAACUUGAGCUAAUACCGGAUAAGCCCUUACGGGGAAAGAUUUAUCGCCGAAGGAUCGGCCCGCGUCCGAUUAGCUAGUUGGUGUGGUAACGGCUCACCAAGGCGACGAUCGGUAGCUGGUCUGAGAGGAUGAUCAGCCACACUGGGACUGAGACACGGCCCAGACUCCUACGGGAGGCAGCAGUGGGGAAUAUUGGACAAUGGGGGCAACCCUGAUCCAGCCAUGCCGCGUGAGUGAUGAAGGCCCUAGGGUUGUAAAGCUCUUUCGGCGGGACGAUAAUGACGGUACCCGCAGAAGAAGCCCCGGCUAACUUCGUG